Molecule: unclassified non-coding RNA, 240 nt
Filed under: soil metagenome
Description: partial contains 5.8S ribosomal RNA, internal transcribed spacer 2, and large subunit ribosomal RNA
Source: RNAcentral
AACCAUAGAAACCUGCGGAGUACCUGCGGAAGGAUCAUUAUAGGAAAUAUAAAACCAUAAAGUUGUGGAGGGGGGAUUGAGGGGGGAAUGUACACUCUGCAUCUCUCUCUCUUUUUUCUCUCUGCUUCUUCAAACAAACUACCGCAACAAUCAUAUGUGAAUGUGAAUUGGUGAGGGGAUGAUAUAUAUAUAAGUGCUUGCCUGAUACACUGAUGGAUUGAGGGGAAAGAAAAAAACAAA